This 72-nucleotide transfer RNA is filed under the name Bos taurus (domestic cattle). It matches the Rfam family "tRNA". From Rfam's summary of the family: Transfer RNA (tRNA) molecules are approximately 80 nucleotides in length. Their secondary structure includes four short double-helical elements and three loops (D, anti-codon, and T loops). The record is from Rfam by way of RNAcentral. RNAcentral also lists the same sequence under 2 other names. Lineage: Eukaryota; Metazoa; Chordata; Mammalia; Artiodactyla; Bovidae.
CCCCUGGUGGUCUAGUGGUAAGAAUUCUGGGUUUUCACUGCCACGGCCCAGGUUCAAUCCCUGGCCAGGGAA